GACGAACGCUGGCGGCGUGCUUAACACAUGCAAGUCGAACGGAAAGGCCCUGCUUUUGUGGGGUGCUCGAGUGGCGAACGGGUGAGUAACACGUGAGUAACCUGCCCUUGACUUUGGGAUAACUUCAGGAAACUGGGGCUAAUACCGGAUAGGAGCUCCUGCUGCAUGGUGGGGGUUGGAAAGUUUCGGCGGUUGGGGAUGGACUCGCGGCUUAUCAGCUUGUUGGUGGGGUAGUGGCUUACCAAGGCUUUGACGGGUAGCCGGCCUGAGAGGGUGACCGGCCACAUGGGAACGGGGAUGCGGCCCAGACUCCUACGGGAGGAAGCAGUGGGGAAUAUGGCACAAUGGGCGGAGGCCUGAUGCAGCAACGCCGCGUGCGGGAUGACGGCCUUCGGGUUGGAAACCGCUUUCGCCUGUGACGAAGCGUGAGGGACGGUAAUGGGUAAAGAAGCACCGGCGAACUACGG
Molecule: ribosomal RNA, 467 nt
Filed under: uncultured bacterium
Lineage: Bacteria
Description: partial 16S ribosomal RNA
Rfam family: Bacterial small subunit ribosomal RNA
Source: RNAcentral